This 440-nucleotide ribosomal RNA is filed under the name uncultured bacterium. RNAcentral's name for it is "partial 16S ribosomal RNA". It matches the Rfam family "Bacterial small subunit ribosomal RNA", at positions 338 to 795 of the family's 1533-position model. The record is from RNAcentral.
CCUACGGGUGGCAGCAGUGGGGAAUAUUGCACAAUGGGCGAGACCCUGAUGCAGCGACGCCGCGUGAGCGAUGAAGUAUCUCGGUAUUGAAAGCUCUAUCAGUAUGGGAGUAGAUGACUGUACCUGACGAAUAAGCUCCGGCUAAUUACGUUCCAGCAGCCGGGGUAAUGAGGAGGGGGCAAGGGUUAUCCGGAUUUACUGGGUGUAAAGGGGGCGUAGUCGGUGGUGCAAGGCAGAUGUGAAAGCCCGGGGGUCAAACCCCGUACUGCCUUUGGAACUGGAUGGCUGGAGUGUCCGAGAGGCAGGCGGAAUGCGUAGUGUAGCGGUGAAAUGCGUAGAUAUUAGGAGGAACACCAGUGGCGAAGGCAGCAUGCUGGACGACAACUGACGUUGAGGCUCGAAAGCGUGGGGAGCGAACAGGAUUAGAUACCCGAGUAGUC